GGUUAAGCGACUAAGCGUACACGGUGGAUGCCCUGGCAGUCAGAGGCGAUGAAGGGCGUGCUAAUCUGCGAUAAGCGCCGGUAAGGUGAUAUGAACCGUUAUAACCGGCGAUACCCGAAUGGGGAAACCCAGUGUGAUUCGUCACACUAUCAUUAACUGAAUCCAUAGGUUAAUGAGGCGAACCGGGGGAACUGAAACAUCUAAGUACCCCGAGGAAAAGAAAUCAACCGAGAUUCCCCCAGUAGCGGCGAGCGAACGGGGAGGAGCCCAGAGCCUGAAUCAGCAUGUGUGUUAGUGGAAGCGUCUGGAAAGGCGCGCGAUACAGGGUGACAGCCCCGUACACAAAAGCGUAUGUGCUGUGAGCUCGAUGAGUAGGGCGGGACACGUGGUAUCCUGUCUGAAUAUGGGGGGACCAUCCUCCAAGGCUAAAUACUCCUGACUGACCGAUAGUGAACCAGUACCGUGAGGGAAAGGCGAAAAGAACCCCGGCGAGGGGAGUGAAAAAGAACCUGAAACCGUGUACGUACAAGCAGUGGGAGCACCCUUUGGGGUGUGACUGCGUACCUUUUGUAUAAUGGGUCAGCGACUUAUAUUCUGUAGCGAGGUUAACCGAAUAGGGGAGCCGGAGGGAAACCGAGUCUUAAUUGGGCGUUAAGUUGCAGGGUAUAGACCCGAAACCCGGUGAUCUAGCCAUGGGCAGGUUGAAGGUUGGGUAACACUAACUGGAGGACCGAACCGACUAAUGUUGAAAAAUUAGCGGAUGACCUGUGGCUGGGGGUGAAAGGCCAAUCAAACCGGGAGAUAGCUGGUUCUCCCCGAAAGCUAUUUAGGUAGCGCCUCGUGAAUUCAUCUCCGGGGGUAGAGCACUGUUUCGGCUAGGGGGUCAUCCCGACUUACCAACCCGAUGCAAACUGCGAAUACCGGAGAAUGUUAUCACGGGAGACACACGGCGGGUGCUAACGUCCGUCGUGAAGAGGGAAACAACCCAGACCGCCAGCUAAGGUCCCAAAGUCAUGGUUAAGUGGGAAACGAUGUGGGAAGGCACAGACAGCCAGGAUGUUGGCUUAGAAGCAGCCAUCAUUUAAAGAAAGCGUAAUAGCUCACUGGUCGAGUCGGCCUGCGCGGAAGAUGUAACGGGGCUAAACCAUGCACCGAAGCUGCGGCAGCGACACUCAGGUGUUGUUGGGUAGGGGAGCGUUCUGUAAGCCUGUGAAGGUGGCCUGUGAGGGUUGCUGGAGGUAUCAGAAGUGCGAAUGCUGACAUAAGUAACGAUAAAGCGGGUGAAAAGCCCGCUCGCCGGAAGACCAAGGGUUCCUGUCCAACGUUAAUCGGGGCAGGGUGAGUCGACCCCUAAGGCGAGGCCGAAAGGCGUAGUCGAUGGGAAACGGGUUAAUAUUCCCGUACUUGGUGUUACUGCGAAGGGGGGACGGAGAAGGCUAUGUUGGCCGGGCGACGGUUGUCCCGGUUUAAGCGUGUAGGUGUGUGUUCCAGGUAAAUCCGGUUCACUUUAACACUGAGGCGUGA
RNAcentral lists this ribosomal RNA (1524 nucleotides) under Salmonella enterica. RNAcentral's name for it is "partial 23S ribosomal RNA". It matches the Rfam family "Bacterial large subunit ribosomal RNA", at positions 1 to 1566 of the family's 2925-position model. Lineage: Bacteria; Pseudomonadati; Pseudomonadota; Gammaproteobacteria; Enterobacterales; Enterobacteriaceae. The record is from RNAcentral.